GCGUGAAGCUGGAAUCGCUNGUAAUCGCGGAUCAGCAUGCCGCGGUGAAUACGUUCCCGGGCCUUGUACACACCGCCCGUCACACCACGAGAGUUUGUAACACCCGAAGUCGGUGAGGUAACCUUUUUGGAGCCAGCCGCCGAAGGUGGGACAGAUGAUUGGGGUGAAGUCGUAACAAGGUAGCCGUAUCGGAAGGUGCGGCUGGAUCACCUCCUUU
Molecule: ribosomal RNA, 217 nt
Filed under: Bacillus sp. IG2
Lineage: Bacteria; Bacillati; Bacillota; Bacilli; Caryophanales; Bacillaceae
Description: partial 16S ribosomal RNA
Rfam family: Bacterial small subunit ribosomal RNA
Source: RNAcentral